This 527-nucleotide ribosomal RNA is filed under the name uncultured Glomus. RNAcentral describes it as "SSU rRNA". It matches the Rfam family "Eukaryotic small subunit ribosomal RNA", at positions 565 to 1093 of the family's 1831-position model. The record is from RNAcentral. Lineage: Eukaryota; Fungi; Glomeromycota; Glomeromycetes; Glomerales; Glomeraceae.
UGCCAGCAGCCGCGGUAAUUCCAGCUCCAAUAGCGUAUAUUAAGUUGUUGCAGUUAAAAGCUCGUAGUUGAAUUUCGGGAUCAGUGCGCCGGUCGUGCCUUCGGUAUGUACUGGUGUUACUGGUUCCUACCUUCUGACGAACCGUCAUGUCAUUAAUUUGGUGUGGUGGGAAUCAGGACUGUUACUUUGAAAAAAUUAGAGUGUUUAAAGCAGGCUCGCGCUUGAAUACAUUAGCAUGGAAUAAUGAAAUAGGACGUUCGAUCCUAUUUUAGUUGGUUUCUAGGGAUUGACGUAAUGAUUAAUAGGGAUAGUUGGGGGCAUUAGUAUUCAAUUGUCAGAGGUGAAAUUCUUGGAUUUAUUGAAGACUAACUACUGCGAAAGCAUUUGCCAAGGAUGUUUUCAUUAAUCAAGAACGAAAGUUAGGGGAUCGAAGACGAUCAGAUACCGUCGUAGUCUUAACCAUAAACUAUGCCGACUAGGGAUCGGAUGAUGUUAAUUUUUUUAAUGACUCAUUCGGCGCCUUACGG